GUCAGGCGCGGUGGCAUGUGCCUGUAGUCCCAGCUACUCAGGAGGCUGAGGUGGGAGGAUCACUUGAGCCCAGGAGUUCUGGGCUGUAGUGCGCUAUGCCAAUUGGGUGUCUGCACUAACUAAGUUCAGCAUCAAUAUGGUGACCUCCCGGGAGCAGGGGACCACCAGGUUGCCUAAGGAGGGGUGAACCGGCCCAGGUCAGAAACGGAGCAGGUCAAAACUCUCAUGCUGAUCAGUAGCAGGAUUGUGCCCGUGAAUAGACACUGCACUCCAGCCUGGGCAACAUAGCGAGACCCUGUCUCU
Molecule: signal recognition particle RNA, 303 nt
Filed under: Aotus nancymaae (Ma's night monkey)
Lineage: Eukaryota; Metazoa; Chordata; Mammalia; Primates; Aotidae
Description: Metazoan signal recognition particle RNA (ENSANAG00000001602.1)
Rfam family: Metazoan signal recognition particle RNA
About the family: The signal recognition particle (SRP) is a universally conserved ribonucleoprotein.
Source: RNAcentral